ACUUGUGCUACUCUUAUAACAAAUAAAGCACAUUAUGUUCUUCUUAGUAUUACAAAACCACUGUCGAUUAACUGGGUCAGGUAUUUUAAGAUUAGUUACCAUGAAGGAGAUGAAAGAAAAAUAUUUUGUGGAUCUAUUGAAUACUUUGUUCGUGACUAUCACCAGGCGCGAAGGUGACUGUGAUUGGCUUUUGCACAUUUGUUUUAUUUCGACUUCUCAAUCGAGUGCUUGUAGUCCUCCCUAAUGUCCGAAUUAGAGCCAUCGCGAAAUAAUGGUACUACGCCUCUAUAGAACUUUAAUCACAAAACAGCAUUGUACUCUUGAUAAUUCCAUAGUUACCAAAACAUUUGCACAUGACACAGGCAUGAUUUGUCUUUUUACGGGGCCCGAAUCCAUGGCCCCUUAUUUUGUAGCUAGCUCAUGACCUGCUGCGCCUAGCCGUAUUCGAUAAACUAUCCUUGAUGUCAGCAAUGCAAUUUAUUAUUUCUUGCAAUUAGGUGUUCAGUUGUGACGGCUAAGGGAUAGGGAUCAAAAUAAAAGAAAAGUUUCAGUAUUCGCUCUUUCGCCUAUUUAUUAAAUUCUAAACAAUAACGUUUAACUAUGUAUAAUGUUUGCAUUAAGCUGCUAAGUAGUUAUCAGUCUUUAAGUGUCCAUCUAUUAAGAGGGUACUACAUUGUGGCUAAUCUUACAGACGCCAUUUUUUCCAACACAUUGCAUACAAUAU
Long non-coding RNA from Manduca sexta (tobacco hornworm), 724 nucleotides. RefSeq lists it as uncharacterized. The record is from RefSeq and is a predicted model, not a curated record. NCBI's taxonomy places the organism in Eukaryota, Metazoa, Arthropoda, Insecta, Lepidoptera, Sphingidae. The transcript is spliced from 2 exons.